GCCAGUGGCGCGAAGCUACCGUGCGCUGGAUUAUGACUGAACGCCUCUAAGUCAGAAUCCGGGCUAGAAGCGACGCAUGCGCCCGCCGCCCGUUUGCCGACCUGCAGUAGGGGCCUUGGCCCCCAAAGGCACGUGCCGUUGGUGAAGCACGCGCGGCGGACGAGCCGCGUGGGCCGCCUUGAAGUAUAAUUCCCACCGAGCGGCGGGUAGAAUCCUUUGCAGACGACUUAAAUACGCGACGGG
Molecule: ribosomal RNA, 243 nt
Filed under: Anophryoides haemophila
Lineage: Eukaryota; Ciliophora; Oligohymenophorea; Philasterida; Glauconematidae
Description: partial Eukaryotic large subunit ribosomal RNA
Rfam family: Eukaryotic large subunit ribosomal RNA
Source: RNAcentral